RNAcentral lists this ribosomal RNA (2930 nucleotides) under Escherichia coli. RNAcentral's name for it is "23S ribosomal RNA". It matches the Rfam family "Bacterial large subunit ribosomal RNA". Lineage: Bacteria; Pseudomonadati; Pseudomonadota; Gammaproteobacteria; Enterobacterales; Enterobacteriaceae. The record is from RNAcentral.
GGGUUGUGAGGUUAAGCGACUAAGCGUACACGGUGGAUGCCCUGGCAGUCAGAGGCGAUGAAGGACGUGCUAAUCUGCGAUAAGCGUCGGUAAGGUGAUAUGAACCGUUAUAACCGGCGAUUUCCGAAUGGGGAAACCCAGUGUGUUUCGACACACUAUCAUUAACUGAAUCCAUAGGUUAAUGAGGCGAACCGGGGGAACUGAAACAUCUAAGUACCCCGAGGAAAAGAAAUCAACCGAGAUUCCCCCAGUAGCGGCGAGCGAACGGGGAGCAGCCCAGAGCCUGAAUCAGUGUGUGUGUUAGUGGAAGCGUCUGGAAAGGCGCGCGAUACAGGGUGACAGCCCCGUACACAAAAAUGCACAUGCUGUGAGCUCGAUGAGUAGGGCGGGACACGUGGUAUCCUGUCUGAAUAUGGGGGGACCAUCCUCCAAGGCUAAAUACUCCUGACUGACCGAUAGUGAACCAGUACCGUGAGGGAAAGGCGAAAAGAACCCCGGCGAGGGGAGUGAAAAAGAACCUGAAACCGUGUACGUACAAGCAGUGGGAGCACGCUUAGGCGUGUGACUGCGUACCUUUUGUAUAAUGGGUCAGCGACUUAUAUUCUGUAGCAAGGUUAACCGAAUAGGGGAGCCGAAGGGAAACCGAGUCUUAACUGGGCGUUAAGUUGCAGGGUAUAGACCCGAAACCCGGUGAUCUAGCCAUGGGCAGGUUGAAGGUUGGGUAACACUAACUGGAGGACCGAACCGACUAAUGUUGAAAAAUUAGCGGAUGACUUGUGGCUGGGGGUGAAAGGCCAAUCAAACCGGGAGAUAGCUGGUUCUCCCCGAAAGCUAUUUAGGUAGCGCCUCGUGAAUUCAUCUCCGGGGUAGAGCACUGUUUCGGCAAGGGGGUCAUCCCGACUUACCAACCCGAUGCAAACUGCGAAUACCGGAGAAUGUUAUCACGGGAGACACACGGCGGGUGCUAACGUCCGUCGUGAAGAGGGAAACAACCCAGACCGCCAGCUAAGGUCCCAAAGUCAUGGUUAAGUGGGGAAACGAUGUGGGAAGGCCCAGACAGCCGGGAUGUUGGCUUAGAAGCAGCCAUCAUUUAAAAGAAAGCGUAAUAGCUCACUGGUCGAGUCGGCCUGCGCGGAAGAUGUAACGGGGCUAAACCAUGCACCGAAGCUGCGGCAGCGACGCUUAUGCGUUGUUGGGUAGGGGAGCGUUCUGUAAGCCUGUGAAGGUGUGCUGUGAGGCAUGCUGGAGGUAUCAGAAGUGCGAAUGCUGACAUAAGUAACGAUAAAGCGGGUGAAAAGCCCGCUCGCCGGAAGACCAAGGGUUCCUGUCCAACGUUAAUCGGGGCAGGGUGAGUCGACCCCUAAGGCGAGGCCGAAAGGCGUAGUCGAUGGGAAACAGGUUAAUAUUCCUGUACUUGGUGUUACUGCGAAGGGGGGACGGAGAAGGCUAUGUUGGCCGGGCGACGGUUGUCCCGGUUUAAGCGUGUAGGCUGGUUUUCCAGGCAAAUCCGGAAAAUCAAGGCUGAGGCGUGAUGACGAGGCACUACGGUGCUGAAGCAACAAAUGCCCUGCUUCCAGGAAAAGCCUCUAAGCAUCAGGUAACAUCAAAUCGUACCCCAAACCGACACAGGUGGUCAGGUAGAGAAUACCAAGGCGCUUGAGAGAACUCGGGUGAAGGAACUAGGCAAAAUGGUGCCGUAACUUCGGGAGAAGGCACGCUGAUAUGUAGGUGAAGUCCCUUGCGGAUGGAGCUGAAAUCAGUCGAAGAUACCAGCUGGCUGCAACUGUUUAUUAAAAACACAGCACUGUGCAAACACGAAAGUGGACGUAUACGGUGUGACGCCUGCCCGGUGCCGGAAGGUUAAUUGAUGGGGUCAGCGCAAGCGAAGCUCUUGAUCGAAGCCCCGGUAAACGGCGGCCGUAACUAUAACGGUCCUAAGGUAGCGAAAUUCCUUGUCGGGUAAGUUCCGACCUGCACGAAUGGCGUAAUGAUGGCCAGGCUGUCUCCACCCGAGACUCAGUGAAAUUGAACUCGCUGUGAAGAUGCAGUGUACCCGCGGCAAGACGGAAAGACCCCGUGAACCUUUACUAUAGCUUGACACUGAACAUUGAGCCUUGAUGUGUAGGAUAGGUGGGAGGCUUUGAAGUGUGGACGCCAGUCUGCAUGGAGCCGACCUGAAAUACCACCCUUUAAUGUUUGAUGUUCUAACGUUGACCCCUAAUCGGGGUUGCGGACAGUGUCUGGUGGGUAGUUUGACUGGGGCGGUCUCCUCCUAAAGAGUAACGGAGGAGCACGAAGGUUGGCUAAUCCUGGUCGGACAUCAGGAGGUUAGUGCAAUGGCAUAAGCCAGCUUGACUGCGAGCGUGACGGCGCGAGCAGGUGCGAAAGCAGGUCAUAGUGAUCCGGUGGUUCUGAAUGGAAGGGCCAUCGCUCAACGGAUAAAAGGUACUCCGGGGAUAACAGGCUGAUACCGCCCAAGAGUUCAUAUCGACGGCGGUGUUUGGCACCUCGAUGUCGGCUCAUCACAUCCUGGGGCUGAAGUAGGUCCCAAGGGUAUGGCUGUUCGCCAUUUAAAGUGGUACGCGAGCUGGGUUUUAGAACGUCGUGAGACAGUUCGGUCCCCUAUCUGCCGUGGGCGCUGGAGAACUGAGGGGCUGCUCCUAGUACGAGAGGACCGGAGUGGACGCAUCACUGGUGUUCGGGUUGUCAUGCCAAUGGCACUGCCCGGUAGCUAAAUGCGGAAGAGAUAAGUGCUGAAAGCAUCUAAGCACGAAACUUGCCCCGAGAUGAGUUCUCCCUGACCCUUUAAGGGUCCUGAAGGAACGUUGAAGACGACGACGUUGAUAGGCCGGGUGUGUAAGCGCAGCGAUGCGUUGAGCUAACCGGUACUAAUGAACCGUGAGGCUUAACCUUACAACGCCGAAGCUGUU